RNAcentral lists this ribosomal RNA (679 nucleotides) under uncultured Serratia sp. RNAcentral's name for it is "bacterial SSU rRNA". It matches the Rfam family "Bacterial small subunit ribosomal RNA", at positions 792 to 1471 of the family's 1533-position model. The record is from RNAcentral. Lineage: Bacteria; Pseudomonadati; Pseudomonadota; Gammaproteobacteria; Enterobacterales; Yersiniaceae.
AGUCCACGCUGUAAACGAUGUCGAUUUGGAGGUUGUGCCCUUGAGGCGUGGCUUCCGGAGCUAACGCGUUAAAUCGACCGCCUGGGGAGUACGGCCGCAAGGUUAAAACUCAAUGAAUUGACGGGGGCCCGCACAAGCGGUGGAGCAUGUGGUUUAAUUCGAUGCAACGCGAAGAACCUUACCUACUCUUGACAUCCAGAGAACUUAGCAGAGAUGCUUUGGUGCCUUCGGGAACUCUGAGACAGGUGCUGCAUGGCUGUCGUCAGCUCGUGUUGUGAAAUGUUGGGUUAAGUCCCGCAACGAGCGCAACCCUUAUCCUUUGUUGCCAGCGGUUCGGCCGGGAACUCAAAGGAGACUGCCAGUGAUAAACUGGAGGAAGGUGGGGAUGACGUCAAGUCAUCAUGGCCCUUACGAGUAGGGCUACACACGUGCUACAAUGGCAUAUACAAAGAGAAGCGACCUCGCGAGAGCAAGCGGACCUCAUAAAGUAUGUCGUAGUCCGGAUUGGAGUCUGCAACUCGACUCCAUGAAGUCGGAAUCGCUAGUAAUCGUAGAUCAGAAUGCUACGGUGAAUACGUUCCCGGGCCUUGUACACACCGCCCGUCACACCAUGGGAAGUGGGUUGCAAAAGAAGUAGGUAGCUUAACCUUCGGGAGGGCGCUUACCACUUUGUGAUUCA